Molecule: transfer-messenger RNA, 243 nt
Filed under: Salmonella enterica subsp. enterica serovar Reading
Lineage: Bacteria; Pseudomonadati; Pseudomonadota; Gammaproteobacteria; Enterobacterales; Enterobacteriaceae
Description: partial transfer-messenger RNA
Rfam family: transfer-messenger RNA
About the family: Bacterial tmRNA, also known as 10Sa RNA or SsrA, is named for its dual tRNA and mRNA-like properties. Its role is to liberate the mRNA from a stalled ribosome.
Source: RNAcentral
GCCUAAGCGAGCCCGAUAGUCCGUCAGACCGUGUGUGACCCCGCCACGGACCCUGGCGUCAUCUAGGGGUCUUGCUGUGUGACGGCGCCUGGACGUCACGCGGGACUCUUCCCAGGCUGGGCUCGUCGACUUAGGUGUCUGUGACAAAGGUCGGAGCCGAGCAGAACGUCUGCACAGACUGCGCCCGGAGAAGACGCAGUAUCUCAGCGUUGGACGGGGGUUCGAUUCCCCCCAGCUCCACGA